Molecule: ribosomal RNA, 323 nt
Filed under: uncultured eukaryote
Lineage: Eukaryota
Description: partial 18S ribosomal RNA
Rfam family: Eukaryotic small subunit ribosomal RNA
Source: RNAcentral
CCCUUAGAUGUCCUGGGCAGCACGCGUACUACAAUGAUGCAUUCAACGAGUCUUGCCUUAACCGAAAGGUUCGGGUAAACUUUUGAAAUUGCAUCUUGUCGGGGCUUGAUCAUUGUAAUUUUUGAUCACAAACAAGGAAUUCCUUGUAAAUGUGAGUCAUCAACUUGCAUUGAAUACGUCCCUGCCCUUUGUACACACCGCCCGUCGCUUCUACCGAUGAAUGAUCCGGUGAACACUCUGGACUUGUUGUCUGUCGGAGCAAUCCAAAGACGAUAGGGAAGUUGUGUAAACCUUAUCAUUUAGAGGAAGAAGAAGUCGUAACA